Long non-coding RNA from Alligator mississippiensis (American alligator), 1721 nucleotides. RefSeq lists it as uncharacterized. The record is from RefSeq and is a predicted model, not a curated record. The transcript has 2 exons. NCBI's taxonomy places the organism in Eukaryota, Metazoa, Chordata, Crocodylia, Alligatoridae.
GUCUAGACACCUGUUUCUUUCUCCCCGGCCCCUCUCCUGCCGGCUCUCUCUCGCACGCUUUGUCUCUCGGCCGGCCGCGGGCUGCGAGCCUGCGCCGCCAGACACGCACCGCCCUGCAGAGCCGCGGCAGGAAGAGCCUGCUCGCCCCACAACUGCAGCUGCGACCUUCUGCUUUCUUCUCUGCCCGAGAUGCUGCGAGAUAUGAAACCAGAACCUGCGAGACAACCAGACUGUGGACAGAUUGCCCAAGGCAUUGUGGGAUUCAUUAUGACAAGAUGACAACGACUGAGAAUGGAGCGUGUCAGUCCCUUGUCACAGAGGCAUGCUGACAGCCACGCUCCGUCCCUGCAGUGCGAAGACUGCUGCGCGGGGCCGGGCGGACUCUUAUCUCCCCGGCUGGUUUCCGCCGCUGCCUGCGCUGCCCCUCCCCCGCAGCAAACCCCACCAGGAAGCGUUGCUGGGCGGACUUGCCGAGCCGGGAGAGUGCGAAGGGAAAAACAAAGCUCGUCGUGCUACUGCAGCGUUUUCCCUUGGUGAAACACGAGGUGCAGCCCUCCCCCCCGCCCAAACAAAAUAGAUCAAGAGGCUGAGCUGCACUGGGUCGACUUGGAAGGCACAGAGAAAUGAAGCGGAAAGAGGAGUCUGAAUAAAAAUAUCCCCUCGCAGCUAGUGGUGGUAUAUUCCAGCUUACAUGUAAAACAUUAUAACCUCUGAACCGUAGUGUAAAUGUGACACGCGCACGCCGCUGUUUGCAUGGGCUGUCUGCUUUGAUAAUGAGCAAAUGCAGAUUUUAAAAGCUUGUCCAAGGGACAGCCAAGAGCAGACUGCAAGGUUAGGCUGAAGGUUAAACGCACAAUAUACUCAAGCGCUCAGAUUUUACCCCUGCUUACAGUACUGCUGCUUAACAUUCCCGGGACAGUGUAUGCAUCUGAUUAGCGAAGCACAGUCUGCACAAGACAAUCUUUCUGCUGCAGCCACCACACGCUGCCCUGCCCGCUGCCACUCUCCAUUACCUGGUGCAUGAGCGCCCGCUGCAAGUACAGAAGAAUUCCACACAAAUACCAGAUAUACUGCCAGCCUUCCUAAUCCUGGCAACAAAUUUAAAACUAAACUGAAGAUCAUGUAGGUUACCUUUCUCAAGAACAUUUCACUGUAUUCCUCAAGGCCUCAAAGUUUUCUUAUUUAAAUAAUCAUGCUGGACCCAAUGAUCUCAGGAGGUCCCUUCCAGCCCUAAACUUCUGUGGAUCUGUGAACUUCAUGACACACGGUCUAAUUUACCCUGGGCUCUAUGAUCCAAACCUUUUAAUAAUUCUGAAGAGAAUUGUACAAGGCCCAAGCCUUGCAUAAAGUGACCCAAGGCUUUGUAUAAAGUGGCCCAAGCCUUGCAAGAAGUGACCAAAUGACAAAAGUAAUAAGAUUUGUUUUGGCCUGGUGUUUUUAAGAAGGCUAGCAAAACCUUUUUUAAGUCCCUUUUGCUCAUGAGGGCAUUAAAUAGUUUUAGUCUGGAUAAUACUCUUGGAUAAUACUCUUCAUUAUAAAAAAGACGAAGUGGGUUUUUCUUACCACUUUUCAUGAAGCAGGGAAAAUAAUCACACCACUCAGUAACAAGGACUCAAGAAUGGAGAAUGUGAGGGUGUUUUGCUUUGUUUUAUAUUUGGGGAGUGGGGAGGAGGGUGUCGCUUUGUUUUGUUCACUGUAUGAAUAAAGAACACUAUAUGCUU